GAUUCCAUGGCCCAAUGGAUAAGGUGCUGGUCUACGAAACAAGAUAUUUUGGGUUCGACGAUCCCCAGUGGGGUCG
RNAcentral lists this transfer RNA (76 nucleotides) under Ipomoea nil (Japanese morning glory). It matches the Rfam family "tRNA". From Rfam's summary of the family: Transfer RNA (tRNA) molecules are approximately 80 nucleotides in length. Their secondary structure includes four short double-helical elements and three loops (D, anti-codon, and T loops). Lineage: Eukaryota; Viridiplantae; Streptophyta; Magnoliopsida; Solanales; Convolvulaceae. The record is from Rfam by way of RNAcentral.